UACAGAAGUGAUACAAUUUACAACUAAAAAUAUGUAUUAUGGUUACAAGGGGAAAGUUCUUAGCUAUAUGUAUGGUAUUGAUCUCUCAAAUAACAGCUUUGUUGGAGCAAUACCACCAGAAUUUGGAAACUUAAGUGAGAUACUGUCAUUAAACUUAUCACACAACAAUCUCACUGGAUCUAUCCCUGCAACAUUCUCAAACCUAAAGCAUAUUGAGAGUUUGGAUCUUUCUUACAACAACUUGAAUGGUGCCAUCCCUCCACAACUUACUGAAAUUACCACACUGGAAGUUUUUAGUGUGGCGCACAAUAACUUGUCAGGCAAGACACCCGAGAGAAAAUUUCAGUUUGGGACCUUCGAUGAAAGCUGUUACGAAGAAAAUCCUUUCUUAUGUGGACCUCCAUUGCGAAACAAUUGUAGUGAAGAAGGAGUGCUCUCACAGCCAGUGCCUAAUGAUGAACAAGGAGAUGAUGGUUUCGUAGAUAUGGAGUUUUUCUACAUCAGUUUUGGUGUAUGUUACACAGUUGUGGUGAUGACGAUUGCAGCAGUUCUCUACAUCAAUCCAUAUUGGCGACGCAGGUGGUUGUACUUCAUCGACGACUGCAUAGAUACUUGCUACUAUUUUGUGGUGGCUAGUUUUCGAAAGUUCUCCACAUUCAGAAGGUGAAUUUGUAACUAGGGAGACGGUCGUUCCUAGUUUGUGAUGAUUGUUUGUCUAGCUAUUGGUAAUUUGUAGUGUACUGUCUCUAAGCUCAGCCUUUCUAUUUGAUUAGUUAUUUGGGCUAAAUAUAUAAGUUGUACUUCUCAUUGACUCAAGUGUGUUUACUCUUUCAACUCUCAAGACUUGUCUGAAAAUAAAUUGCCAAAACCACUACUAAAGUAUAAACAAAAUAUUCUAUGCCUUUUUUUGAAAGGCGACCCCACCUCAGUUAUUCAAUCAAAGCAUUGAAAUCGGAGCAAGAAGAUCCACCUUCUUCAACAGCCUUCCUGGCCGUUUCUUUGCUCCGCUACUCAUUUCCUCUACAGCUUCACUUUUAACAUGAUCUCCAUGCACUCUAAGCCAUUCCUUAACUCCAGUUCUUAAAACAUCAGUCACCAACUUUUCAUUAUAGAAUUGCUCAACAAAUAUUGGUCUCCUAAGCACACAAAAAAAAUUGUCCUUAUCAACAACCAUUCUUAUUCCCGUUUUAAUACUCUCCUAAGCACAAAAAAAAAUUGUCCUUAUCAAACAUGCAGCUAUGACUUGAGACAUUCAGAAUUUCAACCUCAUUUUCUAUCAAAUUCAACAAUAUUGGAUAUGGUCAUGAUUCAAUGGAAUAAGUCCCACUUCUUUUCUUGAGACCUUUUUCCAUUGAAAUCUUGCAAGACUAUGGCAUACAUGAACUCCAUCUAAUAAACAGUAAAUCACAGAAAUUACCUUCUGAUAGAUCUCCUCUUGCCAAUCAGCGCCUUUUGCAUGUCCAGUCUGUGCUGUAGAAUCUAGGGAUGCUACAAAAAUUUCAAUGCGGACAACAAAAUAUUAGAAUUCAUGUAUUUUUGUGUGUUUUCCAUGUACAAGGGUAUUUCUGUAAUUUUAACACCUGCUGACAAUUUUGAAAUAUUGCAAGGCUCAGUUUUAUUUUCCAUUUACUAUUUAAUUAUUCCCAAAGUAUAGCGAGCUUCAUUAGGUUUUUCCUAUUCUAGAUAGGACUCUUAGUAUUUUCCUAUAUAGGAAUACAAGUCCUUUCUGUAUUAGGAACUUCAUCUAAAUGUUAUGUGAUCAUAUAAAUGCAGAAUGAGAGGGUGAACAAAUGCGCUGGAGGGUAUGAUGUGAUAACAAAUGCGUGUGUGAUUACUAAUGCCACUAGUGGCAGCAGUGGCACAUAAAGCUACCUAAAAGAGCAUUGCUGACUUGAACCAUUAUGAGAGGUGAACAGUUGGUGCACCGCACUGUAGGGCAUCGUGUGGUUACAAAUGCAUGUGUGAUUACAAUAGUUCCAAUAUCAGUGGCACAUAAAGCUACCAAAAAGAGCAUUACCUGCAUGUUAGGAUUCUGGACAACAGUGUUGGGGAUAGUCUGGGUUACACCAGAGACAGGAGGCAGUGCCGCUUGUAAACCAGCAUAACUUUGAACUCCAUUAGAUGCCAUGCAAUUCUGCAUGUUCUGUGAUACCAACUGCUGAUGUGCAUACCCUUGAUUCUGAACUUCAGGGGGCAUACUAUGGGAUGCUGUUCAAGAUAAAAGGCAAAAGGGAAAAACAAAUGUAACAUCGGCAGUCCACACAUAAAGUUAUGAGCGAAAGAAUUGGGAUGGAUUUGAUUCAACCUGACAAUUUUCGGGGAUGGGGGAAGAAGAGGCGGCUGAAAACAAAAAUAAUAUGACAAUUUUCAGGGUGGGCGAAAGAAAAGGAGGAGGCAGAAAACAAAAACAAUCUGUAAUAUUCUUGCAUAACAUUCAUCAAUUACUCAACUUUUUGAUUAAAGCAUGCCAUACACAUAGCAAUAUGUUGCAAUAAAAUGCAAAAGAGUUUGAUAACAAUGCGACAAACAAAACAAAAGGUAAGAUGUUUAGAAAUUCAAUGCUCGGCAGCAUUAUUAUAUAUGAAAAAAGGAUCAAAUACUUUCUCUCGGAAGAAAAGCAAGAAAGUGACGUCUUACCUCCUAAACAGGAAAAUCUUUAAAAUCUACCAUCUCAGUCAUAAAAUAUAAAAUAGCCAUGCAUCACAGUCCUUGUUCCUUAACAAGUUAAGGAUGAAACACUUCACAUGCAUUAUAGAAUUAGCAUUGUGGAGGUGAUCAUGAGAUUUUUCCAGCAAGGCGAUAUACAUAGCAAUAUGCAGCAAUAAAAUGUAAAAGAGUUUGAUAACAAUGCUAGAAGAAAAACAAAAGGUAAGAUGUUUAGAAAUUCAAUGCUCCGCUGCAUUAUAACCUGCUGGAUCCAUGGGGGCAGUGGGCAUGGCUUUUUGAGACCUGAUCUCCAUUGAAAGCAUCUCCAGAGAUAUUUUACGCAGAUAAUCAUACUGAAAUCAGAUAUUAAUAACAAAACAUUAGAUCUCAUAGCAAUCCAUGUUACAAGAGGAGGAAAAUGGAUAUAUGCUCUAUCAUUUCAUCUUUUGUGAGGAUAUACUAUAUUUGAAGGGUAUAGCGAUACUAAUUAGAUAUCCAAUAUUAUUCAAAAUCCACAAAUAGAUUUAUCUUUGUUAUCGGAGAAGCUAUAGUCUUUUGAAAAUUCUUUAAACAAACAUGCAUAUCCAUAUCCAUGAAGGAGUUUGAGUUUACAACUUUAGAUAAAGAAAAGAAGUAGAAUAGCUUCUAAAACCUUACUGAGGAUAUUCCCUUUCAAUUGUAAAUUUGAAUAUCCUCAGUAAGGUUUUAGAAGCUAUUCUACUAUAUAUAUAUAUAUAUAUAUAUAUAUAUAUAUAACUGCAAGUAUUGACAUAAUUGUCAAUAUUUUAAGAUAGUUGAUCUAAAAUCAGUUUAAUUUUAUUGACCAUAUAAAAUAAAAUGAUAAUAUCAUGGAUUUGCUAAUAAAAUGCUUAACAAUAGAGCAAGCCAAUAAUCAUCGAGGGGAAUGAGAUUAAGACACAGUUCAAUGAAUUGUCAUGAUAGCGACCCAACCUAGUUUACUGGAGAUCCCAAAUUUAGGUUCAAAGAGGCAACCAAAUCUUGUGUCAAUUCAAUAAUAUCCCGUUUACCCAUUCAUAUGAUAUAAAGUGUUAUCUGUAGUGAAAAUAAGAUAAGCUAAGAUUUUAAUAACUUUUAUAGCUUGAGAAAUUCAAGUGAGGUAUUACAUGAUACUUUUAAUAAGAAUCACCUAUGUGAGUUUGAAACAAGGCCACUUCUAUGAGAAUUGAAAAUGCAAAUUCUCUAACGCUCUCUGAAAUGAAGACAUAUUUGAGGCUAAAAUGAACACAACCGUGAGAACCAAAAUUGUAAGAAAAUAAACUGUGUAAUCUCUAUUAUCUAGUUUCACACAAAAGGUUAAACAACUCAAGACAUCAUGUUCACUAGUUAGCCAAGUGAAUCCAAUAGUUUUAAUUAUGGAAGGUUAAAGGCUAAAAACUAUCAUGCUUGAUGCAAUACUUUUCGCUACUAGUCUCUAUUUUUUUGCCUACUUUGUAUUUUAUUCAGAUGUAAUGUUUUGAAAUAAAUGAGUUGGAAAAUACAAUAAAGCCCUUGAAGGCUUAAAAGUUGGAAUAAAUGAAUAAGUGGUAUAGUGGUAAUUCAACAAAACUUGAUAAAUAUAAAUAGGAAGUAAAAAAAGAAAAAAGAGAGAGAUCUGAAAUUAGAGAGUAGAACCGGCAGGAGUGAAGUGAGAAAGAUGAAGAAGAGAAAAGAGGGGAAAGUAAGGGAAAAAGGAAAGGAGUUUGAGGAAAUAAGUUAAAAGGGUAAGAUUUAUGCUUUAAUGUGUAUAAUAUGUUUUAAUUAAGCUUUAAUUUUGAUUUUGAUAAAUGUUAGGGUUUUGAAUAUUAUGUUUUGGGUUUAAUUGAUGAAUUAAUAUGGAUGUUAUGGGGUUGAUUAUUGUGGGUAAUGGAUUGUUAAGUUGAAUUUGAGAGAUUGUAGAUAAAAAUGAUGAUUUUGAGUUAUGGUUUUGUUUGAAUGGUGAAUUUAUGCUAUAAAUCAGGGAUAACAGUAGGUAAUCUGUUAAAAUUCUGGGUUGGAGGUUGAAGAUGACGAAAAUUCAAUUUGGUCCCUCAAUUUGCAAAAAUUACAGUUUAGUCCCCAAACUUUGGGAAAUUACAAAUUGGUCCCUGGAGCAUAUUCCGAGAUUCUGAACAGAAUAAAAUAUGAAUUAUGGGCAGAAUUACAGUAUAGUUAUGAAAUUUUAAACAGUUUUAAUUUGGUCCUUCAAUUUGACAAAAAUUACCAUUUGACCCUAAAAAUUUGGUAAAAUUCCAGAAUGGUCCCUGGAACAUAAUGAGAUAUUCUGGACAGAAUUGAGGAUGAAUUAUGGAAAUAAUUCCACUAUAGUCAUGAAUUUAUGAUAUGUUUAGUUUGGCCUCCAAUUAGAUGAAAAUUACAAUUUGGCCCUAAAAAUAUAAUAAAUUCCUGAUUAGUCCCUAUCUGUAAUAUUAGCUUUUCCAGAUUAGUUUGAUGAAUAAUUAAGGGUUAUUUAGUGAAUUAUUACCAAUUUUAUUAGUUAUUUUUAUUAUGGAUUAGAUUUCGAGAAAACCGUUAAAUUUUGGGUUUUUAAGAAAAUUGACUAGUUAGUUCAAAAACAUAUAGGGUUACAGAAUACAGCCUUAGUUAAGUGUAUUAAAUAGUUUAAAUGUUCUUUCGAGUCCUUUUUGAAUAUGUCUCCUUUGUAUUUAGAUAAUCCUGAUAUUCUACCGGCGGGACGUUAGUAGGAUUUCCUUCGGUAUCUGCUUUUGACUUCUGUUUGCUUUUGAGUCAGGUGAGUGGAUAAUUUUCCAUAUGCAUGAGAAAUAUUAUAAAUAUUUGAUUUGUUAAUAUGAAUUGAAUCACGCUUCUUAAUAAUAUAUAUGUUGAUUAUUAUCCUUGAUAUGAUAAAGCAUGAUCAAUUAUUGAAUUUGAAUUCUUGAUAUGAACCAACAUAUAUUUUGAAUUGACUUCUGAAUUGAUAGCUCCUUAUUUGAUUGAUGUCAUGAGUUGAGCUUUGAGAUAUGAAUAUGUUUGUUAGAUUAUGAUUAUGAAUCUAUGGCAUGUCAGUCAGAAUACCCAUGCUAACAGGGUAGUGUUAGUCUUUGUGCAAAUCGUAUCUGAACCCUAGUUGGUUGGGGGAGUCAUCAACUUGUGUGGACUGAUCAUCCCACAGUACGGAGCCUCAUGCUCAUUGCAUUUUGAUUUUCUGAUGAGUUUUACCAUAUGUUCUUGUUAUGGCCUACUUAAGAAACCUUUCCUAUAAGAACCUAGAGCCAUAAUUGUAUAUAUUUUUCAUUGUUGUAUUACCUCGUGUGUGUAUAUUGAACGUUAUCUACUCACUAAGUUGUUGAACUUGUUGUAACCCAUUUUUUGGUCCCCACAUAAAAAAUAAUAAAAAUUCAAAAAUUCAAAAAAUAUAUUAUAAAAAAAACGCAAAAUGGUGCCGUUUGGAAACGGCACCAUCGUCUUCUUCCCUGCACACGCAGAGAACAGGGGAGAAGAAUUUUUCUUCUCCACUUUUCGCCGAACUUCUUUCCCGGAUUUGGCGCAAUAAGACGCCUACCAUUCGACGCCCACUUGCCUCCUUUUUAUCCAUUGAACAGAUAGUGCAGGGGCGGCCAACAAUGGCCGCCCCACCAUUCGCCCCCCCUGUUUUUGCCUAUAAAAACAGGGGAGGAAGAAGAAAAAAAGAAAAAAAAAGAGAAGACCAAGAGAGGGGGAAGAGAAGAGAAGGGAGAGCAAAGAGAGGGAGAAGAGGGAGAAGAGAGGAGAGAAGGCAGAGAAGAGAAAGGAAGAAGCAGAGAAGAAAACAGAGGAGAGAGAGAAGGAAAACGCAGAGCCACCGCCGGCCACCCCACUGUCAGCGCCGCUUCCUGUCGCCACCAGCAGCUCCGCCAUCAACGACAGCCACCACAAGUCAGCCCUCAAACCCUUAUCUCGUUUUACUGUUCAUCUUCUUGCAUGCAGAACGUGCACUGUGCACGUUCUGCAAGCCAUGAAUUAAUUACCCGGUUACUGUGCAUGGGCACAGUAACUGGCUAAUUAAUUCACUGGUUACUGUGAACACAGUAACCCGGUUACUAUAUGCACAGUAACCAGCCCAUUUGGGCGUGGGCUGGGACGUCAGCCAGCCCAUGUAAAUGGGCCAGGUUUGGCCCAGCCCAUGCAAUUGGGCCUGAUCCGGCCCAUUUAAAAAAAAAAAUAUUAUUUUUUAAAAAAAUAUUUAUGAUGUUCCACUUUUGAUUUAUGUUAUUUUUAUUAAUAUCGGGUAGUAUUUUUAUGUAAAAAUACAAAUCUGGUAUUAAACUACCGGUUUUUCAUCAAAAACUUCCAAAAAUACAAAAAAAUUAAAAAAAAAAAGAGAAAAAAUGUUUUUGUGCAUACGGCCAAGUGUCUCAAAGCUAAAAAAUCAUAUUGUAUUUUUCAUACACCAAAAAACAAUGUUUUAGCAUGCAUUUUGGCUUUAAUAACCAGUUUAUUAAAGUCAAGAGAAUAUUGGCCAAAAUUUCAAAAACAACAAAAAAUUUAUUUUGUUUGUCUCUUAGUAUCCGGGUAUGACAUUACAUGUAAUGCAUAUUCCGGAUAUUAAUUCUUUUCGGACAAUCGAACCUGGGGUAUGACAUUACAUGUAAUGCGUAUUCCGAACAAUACAAACCACAACAGACUUAGAUUUUAUCAGACAAAACAAUGCAGCUACCUUAGGUAGGGCGUAGUUGGGGUUAAUACCUUCCCUUUACGCAACCAGUCUCCGUACCCGAUCUCUAAAGACCAGUUAAGGUUCCUAGUAACCAGAAUACUAGGUGGCGACUCCUAAUCCAUAUUUUCACAUUGUAGAGACAAGAAUUCCUUGUCUCUCCCUAUUUUUUCCAGGAAUGAAUAUUCCGUUUUUUCCUUGAGGGUGGACGAUCGCUGCGCCGCCGCACACGUGCGACAGAAUGGCGACUCCACUGGGGACUUUGUGGACUAAGCUUUGUUUUUGUCUGAUUUAUUGUGUUUUUUGUUGUGGUUUGCGUGUUUAUUUUUAAAUAUGCAUUUCCUGUAUUUAUUUCUUACGCGCUUUAAUUUCUAUACAUCUUUGUUCAUGCAUUGCAUAAAACUGCCUCAUGCAUCACAUGCUUUAUAUUUUUCAAGCACACACAAGCCUUUAAGUUAAGUGGGAAUUAGCGAUCUGCCCUAUGACUAUUGGUCGGGUUCAGAUGCGUGAAACACCCAACUCAUAUCUGAGAGCCUGCUUGGUAAUGGUGGGCAUACAUGCCUUAACUGUUCUUUGCAACGCCCCCAUACUGCCUUUACGAAGGACGUCACUGGGCAGAUAUGAGACCCUUUUGAGACCAGGUAGAAAACCUAUUCAUGAAUAGACCCUGUCUUUAGUUUGUAUGCGCUAUCUUUCUUUACAGAAUAUGUCAUACAAAAAAAAAAAAAUCAUGUCACCCCUUUGAGGGGCAAGUGCAUCAUAUAAAUUACAUGUUCAAACAUUUAACAUGCAUACAUGCCAGAUCGAAAUAUAGGUCCCCAAAAAGUCUACAACACCCGACUUCGAGCAAGAAACAUGGAAGAUGAAGAGCGUGCUCAACGUGAGGCCUAUUUGCACGACGAGUUGGAGUCUCUGAAAAUAAGUGUGGCUCACCUCACUAGCUUACUCAAGCAAACACUAAGAAAUACCUCUGAUGAAGGUCCUUCUAAUCAACCGAUCACCUUUGAUCCGGCUCCUACUACAGUUCAGCCUGAGGAAAGAAUGAGCGAACAUGGUCAAGAACCUCAGCAAAAUCCAACAUUUGUGCAGUCAACGACACCUGCACCAUCCCCAACAGUCGUGAAGGCAUCUGCUAAUGAGUCCCACAAGGCUAAGUCAUCUGAUAGCAUUGAUCAAGCUAAGAUAGAGGCGUUGGAAGCCAGACUCAAAGCCAUUGAAGGGAUAGACUUAUAUGACCCGGUACGGGCAGCAGAGAUGUGUUUGGUCCCAAAUGUGGUUAUCCCAAAGAAAUUUCGUGUUCCUGAAUUCAUCAAAUACAGUGGAACACAAUGCCCCAUGACUCAUCUCAGGUCCUACUGCAAUAAAAUGGCUGAGGUAGUACAUGAUGAAAAACUACUAAUGCACUUUUUCCAAGACAGUUUAAGUGGGGCAACUUUGAGUUGGUACAUGAGAUUGGAUAACACAAAAAUUCGCAACUGGAAAAAUCUUGUGGAUGCUUUCGUCAAGCAAUACAAUACAACAUGGACAUUGCGCCCGACAGAACCAGUUUGUCCAAUAUAGAGAAAAAGGAUAAAGAAAGCAUAAGGGAAUAUGCUCAAAGAUGGCGAGAAUUAGCUGCUCAAGUACAUCCCCCACUUCUGGACAAAGAGAUGGUCUCUUUAUUUGCCAACACACUCAAAGCACCAUAUUACGAACAUAUGAUGGGUAGUUCAGCCCAACAAUUCACUGAUGCUGUGAUAGUGUGUGAACGCAUAGAGCAAGGUGUCAAGAGUGGUAGAAUUGCUGCACCAACCGAGAAAAGAGGCGUCGAAAGAAAAGAGGUUCACCAUGUUGAAGAUGGCUACAUGGGUAAAACAAAUACAUCCCAAAAUUACCAUACUCCAUCCCAAAUUGCCAACAUCAAAAAACCUGAACCCCAAAACUUUCAAGCCAAAAGCCAAAUUGGAAAUUUCCAAAGGGUUCAAGAACAACUACCUCCACUACCGUUACCCCUGAAUGAGAUGUAUCAAAAGCUAUUGAGCAUCGGGCAAAUAGCUCCAGAACCUCUAACACCUCUGCAGCCACCUUAUCCUAAUUGGUACAAGCCAGAACUCAAUUGUGAAUACCAUGCCGGUAUUACUGGGCAUAGCAUCUAUACCUGCAACGCCUUCAAGAGAAAGCUUCUGCAAUUAAUCAAGGCUGGGUGGAUAGAAUUGGAAGAUGCCCCCAAUGUGAAUACGAACCCGUUACCUAAUCAUGCUUGAAGCAUAUUAGGAUGGAAAGUUUGGGGAAUUGGAAAGCAUCAAUGGUCCAACAUGAUAGCUCAACUUUUGACCGUGGUGUUGUUCCGCAUUGUCUUUGAGUCCUCUACGCAGAGCUUUUGAGAGGAGGUUUUAGCCUAUGAACAUAUUCACCAAAGCCUGCCUUGUUAUUGCCUUUUGUUAAUGCUUUUGAAUAAGACUUUCUCUGUUAAUGAGCUUCUCUUGUGAAAUAAGAUCAUGUGUUUUCUUGUGUUCACAUCACACUCUUCUUUGUUGUUAUUACAUGUAAAUAACAUUUUGAGCGCAACUUUGCUCACAACACUACAACAUGAAGAAUCCUUUUCUUUUUUUCUUUCUUCCAAACCCAUACAUUAAUCUCAUAUGUUUUCAAGGAUAUUUUUUUGGGACCUCCAAAGUGAGUACAAAAAAACAAAAAUCGUGUUGAUAUUUGUCCAAAACAAAUGCAUUUUGAAAAUUCAAGUGAUUCCUUAAAUAGGUACACAUAUACCUAGAAAACUUGAAAGAAAAAAAGACAACAAAGACAAACAACACUAUGAGGUGACUCAAAAGCUGAGUUUUAUUUGACUGAAUAAAUCAUUUGGCAUACGCGCAUGAAAGCAAGACCUAUCGAUCCUCAAUGCAUGAGUUUGAGAUGAGGAAAGGCCAUCUUUGAUAAUCCUUUCACAAGGCUAAAAAAUAUCCUUUGCAGUCCCAUUUUGAGCCUAGUAAUGUUUUUUGGAAAUAACCUUGACUAGGAUCACACCCCACACUGGGGGCAAAAUAAUAGAGUUUUUACCCAUCCAGACAAAGCAGUGAAGAUGGGUGCUGGAUUGAUCAUGUAAUUUUUAAUCUUUCAUUAUCAUCUAAAUGAAGCAGUGAUUGGUUAAGAAAAGAAAAGAAGAAGAUCUAAAGGAUCUAAAAGAUUUGAGCUUCUCAUACAAACAACUGAUAUGAUCGUGCUCAACCAAACAAAAAUGGAGAAAACAAAGAGAAAAGCCCAAACCCGACACUGGGGGGCAUGAAGACUAUUUUGAAAAAAAACAAAUCCAAAAGACAAAAGGUCAGGAAACAAGCACAAGUGAUCCCUAGUCUUGAAAUCCCUUAAACACCUUUUGAGCCUGCAACAUAUCCAUUUUCUUCGUAACCAAUAGCCAAAGCCUACAUUACAUACCUGAUAAAGCCCUUUCUGAUCAAAGGCAAGCAAUCUGGAUGGUAGGUAGUGCUUUCAUGUGCAAGUCAAAUCAUUAUUCAUGCAAAUAAAAUAAAUGCUUUGAAUCAAUUCGGUUCUCAAUAACCCUCAAAUUGAAAUUUAAACCUUUUGUGACCAACCAGAUGUCACUUCAUCUUUAAACCAAAAGCAAAAAGCUUUCAUCACUUCAAGAAACCUGUCCAUAGGAAUCGCUUGAAUUUUUUAGAACAAGUUUAUUUUGAACCAAUAUCAAAAUCAUUUUUGAGUUUGGAAUAACUUGGAAGUUCCAAAAAUUUUGCAUGAAAACAUUUCAUUGUACAAAAAACCCAAACUUACUUUCACAUAUCCUCACCCCAAACUAAACCCAAGUUGAACACUUGGGGGGCAUGAUCAAGCUGGGGGGCAAUCAAACACACAUGGUAGGGCUGUCUCCAUGAUUCCUUUUCUAAGGAAAAUGUCGGGCAAAAUUGGCAACUCUUGAGAUAAAGGGUGAAGGACAAAGAUGUAUGAUGACAUCAAACCCUUCCCAGAGGUCAAGAUCACAAUGUGUAACCCGAGUAAGCAAAGUGGAAAAGCCAUCGAAGUUUACUACCAACACUACAACUUUUGAGAGAAAACAAAGACACCAUGAAGAAAUGGGGGCCUAUAUUUCUCAGGUAAGUAUACAUGCAUAUCAAUCAUAAUGCAUUUUCUUACAACAUUCACAGAUCAGUGUUUCAACAUCAUCCCUUAGGUAGUGCGUUUUAUAACCCUACCUCCUUUUGAGUGCGCCUUUGAGCCCUCACCUCCAUUUUGAGUGCGCCUUUGAGCCCUCAUCCCUUUGGUAGUGCGUUUUCUAACCCUACCUCCUUUUGAGUGCGCCUUUGAGCCCUCACCUCCAUUUUGAGUGCGCCUUUGAGCCCUCAUCCCUUUGGUAGUGCGUUUUCUAACCCUACCUCCUUUUGAGUGCGCCUUUGAGCCCUCACCUCCAUUUUGAGUGCGCCUUUGAGCCCUCAUCCCUUGGUAGUGCGUUUUCUAACCCUACCUGCUUUUGAGUGCGCCUUUGAGCCCUCACCUCCAUUUUGAGUGCGCCUUUGAGCGCUCAUUCCCUUGGUAGUGCGUUUUCUAACCCUACCUUCUUUUGAGUGCGCCUUUGAGCCCUCACCUCCAUUUUGAGUGCGCUUUUGAGCCCUCGUCCCUUUGGUAGUGCGUUUUCUAACCCUACCUCCCUUUGAGUGCGCCUUUGAGCCCUCACCUCCUUUUGAGUGCGCCUUUGAGCCCUCAAUUCCUUUGGUUGUGUUUUUCUCACCCUACCUCUUUUAGAGUGUGCCUUUAAGCCCUCGCCAUCCAAUUCUUCAUAUUUUUUUCAUUUGGGUAGGUCACCCAUUACAAUGAGACCGUUUUUUUUUUAUCACAUUUUCUUUUGUUUUGGUUAAAUGAGGUUGCCAGAUGGGAUCUCAUGUAGCUUUGGUUAGAGGGAAUCUCCAUAUGGGAUUUUAGGUUGACCGAGCUACACACGCAGGAUUUUUUGGUUCUGGUUAGAGGGGAUUGCCGAAAGGAAUCUCAGUCUAUCCCAACCACACAAGAUUUUGGUUCUGGUUAGAGGGGAUUUCCGAAAGCAAUCUCAGUCUAUCCCAACCACACACAGGAUUUUGGUUCUGGCUAGAGGGGAUUGCCGAAAGGAAUCUCAGUCUAUCCCAACCACACAUAGGUUUUUUGGUUCUGGUUAGAGGGGAUUGCCGAAAGCAAUCUCAGUCUAUCCCAACCACACACGGGAUUUUGGUUCUGGUUAGAGGGGAUUGCCGAAAGGAAUCUUAGUCUAUCCCAACCACACAGGAUUUUGGUUCUGGCUAGAGGGGAUUGCCGAAAGGAAUCUCAGCCUAUCCCAACCACACAGAGGAUUUUGGUUCUGGUUAGAGGGGAUUGCCGAAAGGAAUCUCGGUCUAUCCCAACCACACAUAGGUUUUUUGGUUCUGGCUAGAGGGGAUUGCCGAAAGGAAUCUCAGUCUAUCCCAACCACACAGGAUUUUGGUUCUGGCUAGAGGGGAUUGCCGAAAGGAAUCUCAGUCUAUCCCAACCACACAGAGGAUUUUGGUUCUAGUUAGAGGGGAUUGCUGAAAGGAAUCUCAGUCUAUCCCAACCACACAGGAUUUUGGUUCUGGUUAGAGGGGAUUGCCGAAAGGAAUCUCAGUCUAUCCCAACCACACAGGAUUUUGCUUCUGGUUAGAGGGGAUUGGCGAAAGGAAUCUCAGUCUAUCCUAACCACACACACAUAGUAUUGAAGUUUCGGGUUAAAGGGGAUUGGCGAAAGGAAUCUCAAUUUAGCCCAACCACACACAGGACUUUGGGUCCGGUUGAAGUUUUAGGUCAAUCAAAUUUUGAGACGACCAGUUUCGAAAGACCAAUGUUAUUUUAUCUUUACAACACUUACUAUGCACAAAGUUUUGCUCCGUAAGCAUUGUAAAGAGGGGGGCAACUGUUGUAACCCAUUUUUUGGUCCCCACAUAAAAAAUAAUAAAAAUAAAAAAAUUCAAAAAAUAUAUUAUAAAAAAAAACGCAAAACAGUGCCGUUUGGAAACGGCACCAUCGUCUUUUUCCCUGCGCACGCAGAGAACAGGGGAGAAGAAUUUUUCUUCUCCACUUUUCGCUGAACUUCUUUCCCGGAUUUGGCGCAAUAAGACGCCUACCAUUAGACGCCCACUUGCCUCCUUUUUAUCCAUUGAACAGAUAGUGCAGGGGCGGCCAACAGUGGCCGCCCCACCAUUCGCCCCCCCUGUUUUUGCCUAUAAAAACAGGGGAGGAAGAAGAAAAAAAGAAAAAAAAAGAGAAGACCAAGAGAGGGGGAAGAGAAGAGAAGGGAGAGCAAAGAGAGGGAGAAGAGGGAGAAGAGAGGAGAGAAGGCAGAGAAGAAAACAAAGGAGAGAGAGAAGGAAAACGCAGAGCCACCGCCGGCCACCCCACUGUCAGCGCCGCUUCCUGUCGCCACCAGCAGCUCCGCCAUCAACGACAGCCACCACAAGUCAGCCCUCAAACCCUUAUCUCGUUUUACUGUUCAUCUUCUUGCAUGCAGAACGUGCACUGUGCACGUUCUGCAAGCCAUGAAUUAAUUACCCGGUUACUGUGCAUGGGCACAGUAACUGGCUAAUUAAUUCACUGGUUACUGUGAACACAGUAACCCGGUUACUAUAUGCACAGUAACCAGCCCAUUUGGGCGUGGGCUGGGACGUCAGCCAGCCCAUGUAAAUGGGCCAGGUUUGGCCCAGCCCAUGCAAUUGGGCCUGAUCUGGCCCAUUUAAAAAAAAAAAUUAUUGUUUUAAAAAAAUAUAUUUAUGAUGUUCCCACUUUUGAUUUAUGUUAUUUUUAUUAAUAUCGGGUAGUAUUUUUAUGUCGUAAAAAUAUAAAUCUGGUAUUAAACUACCCGGUUUUUCAUCAAAAACUUCCAAAAAUACAAAAAAAUUAAAAAAAAGGAGAAAAAAUGUUUUUGUGCAUACGGCCAAGUGUCUCAAAGCUAAAAAAUCAUAUUGUAUUUUUCAUACACCAAAAAAACAAUGUUUUAGCAUGCAUUUUGGCUUUAAUAACCAGUUUAUUAAAGUCAAGAGAAUAUUGGCCAAAAUUUCAAAAACAACAAAAAAAUUUAUUUUGUUUGUCUCUUAGUAUUCGAGGUAUGACAUUACAUGUAAUGCAUAUUCUGGAUAUUAAUUCUUUUUUUCCGGACAAUCGAACUUGGGGUAUGACAUUACAUGUAAUGCGUAUUCCGAACAAUUACAAACCACAACAAGACUUUAGAUUUUAUCAGACAAAACAAUGCAGCUUACCUUAGGUAGGGCGUAGUUGGGGUGUUAAUACCUUCCCUUUACGCAACCAGUCUCCGUACCCGAUCUCUAAAGACCAGUUAAGGUUCCUAGUAACCAGAAUACUAGGUGGCGACUCCCAGUCCAUAUUUUCACAUUGUAGAGACAAGAAUUCCUUGUCUCCCCCUAUUUUUGCCAGGAAUGAAUAUUCCGUUUUUUCCUUGAGGGUGGACGAUCGUCUCGCCGCCGCACACGUGCGACAGAACUCACCCUUUUAUUAUUUAUCCUUUUCAGGCUUAUAGCUUGAUAGCAGGUCACUUUUGUUGAAUCUUCCGAACCUGUUUUUUGGUUGUAAUUUGUACCUUCCUUUUAUGUCAAGUUAGUGCUCCAAAACUAUGAAUAUAUAUGAACUCUUGUAUUAAGACAAUCGAAUUAUGUUAUAAAGUUAGUUUUGUUGUUACUGCUGCGUUGAAUAACUCUGAUUGAAUUUUGAAGGAUAAGUUUGUAUGUAAGUUUGGGUUCGCAUAGGUAUGGAACCUUGAAGGGGAACCUUGCCUAUGUACCGGUCAUGGAUCCGGGAUUCGGGUCUUAACAUCAGAUCAAACAAUUUUUAUCAUGUGGGGGGAUUGUUAGGGUGUGAAUGAAAAGUUGUAUUUGUUAAAAACUCUACUUGAAAUAAAAUCUUGUACUUUUAAACUAGAAAGUUGUAACCUUUUGCCUUAAAAGUUAUGUUAAAAUUAAAUGUCAGAAUUACCUAUAAAAAGAGACAAUUCUAACAUGAUUUUGAUAAUGAAAAAACUUCUAGUCUUUUUAAAACUCUUAUCUUUUACAUUUUUUUAGUCAAAAUUCUUAUAGAGAGUAACAUACAAAUUGUGAUUCAUCAUUUAUUCUUGGUUGUGCUAUCAAGAAUUAGAGAUUGAGAAAGCUUGAAAAAUAAUAUUACAAUCACAUUGCUAGCACCAAAGAACAUGUAAUAAAUUGUUUUAUGAUAAUUUAUCGUUAAUUUAUUGAUUUUAAUUUGUGGCUAUCAGUUCAAAAUAAAUCUCAAAGACCUAUUAAAAUUGAAAAUGGUAAUGAGAUUUCUAAAAUUAUAAGUGAAUAUAUGGAAAAUAUUAAAAAAAUACUUUUUAUGAAUGUUAAAGCCAUGAAUAUUUUAUAUUAUACAUUGGAUAAAAGUGAAUUUGAUAGAACUAUAUUAUACAAAAACGCUUAGAGAUAUAUAACAUGCUUUACAAGUAAUUCAUGAAGGAACUAAGAAGUCAAAAAAUUUAAAAUUGACUUGUUAAUUUAUACUAAAAUAACUAAUAGUUUAUUAGUUUGGAUGUUUUUAGUAAUGCUGAAAUUAUAGAGAAUUGAUCAUUAAGUUGAUUUUUUAAUAUGCGUAGAAAUCAGAUCAUUAUAAAUUUAAUAAACUAUUUAAAGUGUUCCAAUGAAAAGAAAAUGGGUGUUGUGAAUUUUAGUCUGCAUUUUUCUCUACUUUCUUUUUGGUUUUUUUUGUUUGUCCCUUCUUGGAAAUUUGCGCUCAGUUUUUGCCUUUACUCUUUGUUGAUUGUCUUUCUGUUUUUAGUUGCAUUGUUAGGCUAUAUGUGUGUUUAUUCACUUGCACAGUGUAAAUGCCAAUUAACUGCAACAAUGUGAGAAGAAGAAGCUGCUUGCCUGGUCUGCUGGAGGCGAAGGCGCGCGGUUGCUGAUAAACCAGCCUAUUUCUUGCUUUCCCUGCCUCUAGUCUUUUCUGUCUAGUUCUCUGGAUUUCUUUUGAUUUUUCUGCGGGUGUGGUUCGUUUGUCAUAAAGCCAGAGAAGGUCGUGUGUUCAUGCCUUCAGAAAUGGCAAGCAUCGUGGAGGCGAGAGAUUGUGGGCGCAAGGUACUGGAAUUCCCCUGUUGAAUCGGCUUCAGCCAACAGAUGAUGAACAAUAGGAUCCAAAACGAUGUCAUUUAGCAUGAAAAAUGACAAAUUGUAGUUUGGUCCCUGGCAUUUUGAAAUGUAUCAAUUGGGCCCCUUAAUCAAAUAAAUUUGUAAUUUUACCCUUGGAUUAAUUUCAAAUAAAUCCCUGAAUUUAUUUAAUUAAUUAAAUCAAAGUUUAAUUAAGUCCACAAACUUAUUAAUUCUUCUAAUUUCAUUAAUUAAACUAAUUCAAAUUUUAAUUAAAUUUCCAAACUUAUUAAUUCUUCAAUUUUUGAUUAAUUUACUCUCAAAUCUGAUAAUUUCAUCCCUGAACUUUGAAUUUGUACUAUUGUUUUAACCACAUUCUCAAAUAUAUUUUUAUCCGUUCACUUUGUAUUAUUUAUUUGAAAAUUAGGUUAUGACAAAUCUAAUAUGUCAUUAUAAAUCUAUCAUAUUGACUGUAUCAUGUUAGAAUAAUUUUUAUGUUGGUUAAUUUUAAAUUUGAUACAGGGAAAGAAUCGGAUAAAAAAAAAUUAAAAUUAAUUUACUAGAAUUUAAGAUGCCAAAUAGUUACUUCAGCGUAUAUAAUUUUUUCGUGUUGCGCAAAACAUAAACUGGUUUCUUCUAAAAUAUUUACAAGUAAACAUUCACGCAUAUGAUGAUAAAAAUUUGAGUGAAAUUUAUAUAAAUAGUGUCUGUUUUUUGCGAAACAAACAAAUUAAUCCCUCAAGUUUUUUAAAUAAUUAAUUGAUUCUUUAAUCACAUUUUACGUCAAGUUAGUGGAACAAAUUGAGGAAAUAUUGAAAGAAAUUUGAGUAAAAUUUAUAUAACUAGUGUCUAUUAUUCGUGGAUGAAUUUGUCUCUCUCAUGAUUAUCUCUACAGCAUUUUUUGCUCUUGGUUCGUCUGGAUUCUUCUCUACAGUCUCGCGCUGGUCUGGAACAAGGCGAGCCUCUGUAUCAAUUAAUCUACAUUUCUUUCCCUUAAUUUUCUCUUUAAUUUCCUUAAUGGGUGUUUUGUAGGCUUCUUUCUCUGUAUGUUAAAUGCUUACUCUAAUCAUCUCUAUUCUACAGCCCAGCAUUUUAUUAUAGUUGUUGUUGCUGUGGACAAAAGUGCAUUUAUUUUCAUUUAACUUUUUAAACAAUUCAUUUAGUUUUUGUUUUAAAUGUUUAAUUUAUUGGUAUUGAACAAACCCCCUUAUAGAGAGCCUUAUGUAGUUUCAUGAAUUUUUGUGAUUUUGUGUCCUUUGGUAUUAGUUAAUAGAUAUUCUACCUCUUAUUCGUUUUUAAUAUUGUUGUUUGGCUCACUUUUAUAUUCUUUUUAUAGAUUUUUUGCUUGACUUAAUAUUCAAUAAGUAUGCAUCCAAUUUGCAAAAAUAGAUACAUACAUGACUUUCAUUAAUUAACAAGAUUGAUUACAUUAAUUCUUGCACUUGUUUUAUUUAAAUAAAUAUAUAGAAUUAUGAAAAUUCAUAAUUUAAUGAUUAGAUAAUAUUUGUAUAACCAGAAUACACAAUAUAUGUAUUAAGUUCAAUGUUUUUGAAAAAGAAUUUCUUUUAUUGAUUAAUGUAUAAGUAUAUAUUGUAUUAAUAAUAUCUUGAUUAAUUAAUAAAUUUCAUGGUCUCAAUGAUAUUAAUUUAUAGAUGUUUAACUGUAUAUUGUAUUAAUUUUUAAAAAAUAUAUAAAUUUUACAUGAUAAAAUUAAAAACACUUAACUCCAUAUAAGGAAAAUAUUUAUUUUUAAACGACAAUACAAAAUAUAUGAUAAUACUAAUAUGUAAAUUCAAAUCUAUCUCUAAUGAGGCAUAUGUAUUGCUUACUAGGGACAUCAUUAGCUUUUUAGCUUCCAUUGAUUUAGCCAUGCAUUGCCUCUUUCAUUUCUCAACUGAUUGUUUUUAACAUUCCAUGUUAAUUUUCUUUCUAGAUGAAGCUCUCAAAUGUACUCUUGGAAUCAACAACUUAGGUUACAAUUACAUGAACAUCGCCCUUUUUAUCUCACACAUACAUAUUAAAGAACUUUGGCAUGCUUAGCUUUCUUACUAUGGCUUUGUCUAAAAUAUGAUGAUUGAUCUUUCGUUUAAGAGUUACUUUUCAUUCCAUUGUUCAUUCUUCUCCCUUUCAAUUUGCCUAGCAUUUGUUGUUUCCUUUCAAGUCUUCUACUUUAAAUCUUAUGUUCAGAAGACAUUGGUUCAACUGUUACUUUUAGCCUGGAGUUCAUAAGGAAGCAAUGAGAUACUAGAUUUGCUUUUCCAACUUCCAUUAACAAUUUGAGUGGCUUGCACUUUGGUUGCUUAUGUUUAUUGAUGAUAGCUUUUAUUGUCUUUUUUCUUUUGGUUUGUAAUUCACAAUAAUAGAUUGGGUCUGAUUAUCUUGGUCUGGAAUUGACAUGAAAAAAAAAAAAAGAAACUGAUAAAACAAUGGAACAAUACAACAGUAGAGAAUGUAUGUUGCAGCCAAAAGCUUAAGGUCUGCGUGUAUUGUAUUAGGGUUUUAUAAUACCUAAAUGUCCACAAUUAAAGCCUAAAUACAUGCCUAAGAAUAUUCACAUUCCAUAAUAGGAUAAUAUUACAAUCAGCUCAUCCCAUAUUUAGAUAUUCCAUAAUAGAAACUUACAUUCUCUACUUUAGAUGGCUUGAGCACUGUUCGCUAGAACAACAGAUUGGGUUUGAUUAUCUUAGUCUGGAAUUGGCAGGAAAAAAAAAACAGAAACUUGCAUUGUCUGCUUUAGAUGGCUUGAACAUUGCUUGCUAGAUGUUCAUUAAUUUCUCUUUUUGCAAUGAACUCUUGCAUAUUUGACAGAUCAUGCUACUUUUUUCACGCUAUUAUUGUUCUCUAUUGAACUGCCAAGAUUAUUGGUUGGAUAAUGGCCACUGUGAUUAGAGAAACUGAAAUAAUUUAUAGUCUGCAAGUUUGUAAAUUCAUUACGGCAGUCAUGUUUUUAUCCAAACAUAUGCCAAGAGUCAAGACCAAAGUUAAAUCAACAACAAAAAGCUGGAAAAAAAACCCUGCGAUAAAAGUGACAAAAUUCAUAAAACUCAUUGGCCAAUAAUGUAAUGCCACAUGAUAAAAUUACAAAAAUUAAUUAAAAAAAUUGAAUCAAUUCAGAUUAACUUACUUAUCUGCAACCUGGAAUAUGAGAUAGGAAUAACCUUACAAAAAAAAAAAAAACCAAAACAAAUAACAAAAUUUAAGGCCCAAUAACUCAAGGUUGAUGAUAAAAAAAAAUAAAAAAAAACUUAAAAAAAUACCAUACUUAAAACGAGUUGAUAUUCAAAAUUGGUAGACUGAGUUAUGAGACCAGGACAACAAAAGAUAAUGAAGCAAAAUUUUCAAUCAUAAAAAAAUAAAAAUCCAAACAAUAAGGACAAAUUCUUAUACAGAAAAUCAUUAAAAGAAAAUAGUGAGGGAUUAAAUUGAAAAACAAAAUAAAUGAAGAAAAUGAUAAACAAAAGAUCAAUAAAAAAAAUAAGGACCGAAAUUGCAAACAAAAUAAAAUGAAAUAAAAUGCUAAAGGACAAAAUUAAAAAAUAUAAGUAAAUGAAAAAAAAUAGUAAUCAAAAGAUUGGAGACCAAGUUUAACAUAAUAAAUAAAUAAAAUAAAAUGCUGAGGGUUGAAAUUGAAAACACUUUUCUUCAAAAAACAUCAAAAUCAAAAUAAAUAGAAAUCAAAAUAAUAAGAAUCAAACUUAUUAUAAAUACAAUCUGAAGGAUACAAUUGAAAUUUUAAAGGCUUGGCAUGAAUAUUAAAGCCCAAGAGGGAGGGAGAAAAAAAAAAUUUAUCACCGUUGAACCACUACAAAUAUGACGACACGUCACUCCAUCAACUACACCUUCACAUUACACGUUGGACUAACACACACCUCUUGAAUGAUGUGGUGGACUAUCACGCGUUGACACGUGUUACAUACAUGUUAGCCUUUUUUAUUGAUUUAUUAAUAUAUCAAUACUUUAAAUUACUAAAUAGCCCCUAAGAGCAUCUAAAUAUUACAAAAAAAGCUAUAUUGCAAAGAUGAAAACCCUAUCCCAUUUCAACUUUAGAUUUUUUUUUUAUUCUACGGUUAACUUUGUCAUUUUACAUAUACAAAACAUGGAAAAGACUAAAAAAUGCCUCAUGUCAAGGUCAAUAUUUUUGAAUUCUCAAGGGUAUUGACAUUAUUUAACUAUGCAAAUAAAAUAGAAAAGACAAAAUGGACCUUAAGCAAAAGGCAAAUUGUUUUUUUGCUUACAAGGGCAAUGAUGUAGUUUUAAUGUACAAAAAAAGAGUAAACCUACUAAAUUAUCCCCAUUCAAUUUACAAAUAACCUUUAGAUCCAUUGAAAAAUACAACUUUACCCCGUUCGGAAGACAAUUGUUUUGUGUAGAGAAGGGCAAAAAGUAAAUAUAUUGUGUUAAUCCAUAGUGUUUUACCUCAUCGUCUAUAAUGAAUCAGUGAUCUUUUAGGAUUAUUUUUUUUGCUUUUUUUUUAAUUCCAUUUUGUUUUAGUUCAUGUUUAGAUUUUAAACAUGCAUUCUCAAACCAAAUCUCUUCUCUCUUGUACGCAUAUAUGUUUUUUAAAAAAUAUUUUUUCACAUCUGACAAUGUCGAAAUGUUUUUUUGCUUUAAAAAAAUUAGGAUAGCCCGUAGUGUAGAUCAUUUGUCUAGUUGGAUACUAUAGUGAUGUUUCAUUUUUAUAUUAAUAGUGAAGCACUUUAUUUUUUUUUAAAUUAGUUUUUUUUUCCUUUUUGAUUUGGUUCUGUUUUUUUUUUUUUUACAAAUUAGUCCUUAUUUUCUUGUUUAAUUUUUUUUUGGCCUAAUUAUAUGAGAUAAAUUUUUCAAUUUAAUUAGAAAUAAACUACUAUACUAAAAAAGUUAUGUUUCUCUACUUCCUUCACUCUUUAUAUAUUUUUUAUUUUUUUAAAUUGGUCUUUAUAUUUUUUUUGCUUCAUGAUUUGGUGUUUAUUCUUCUUCUUUUUUCCUUUCAUUUUUUUACAAAUCGGUCUUUAGAAAUUUUCUUUCCUUUUUUAUUUAACUCUUUUUCGGUCUAUGAGAUAAAGAUUUUAAUUUAAUUAAAAAUUAUUUAUUAAACUAAAAAAGUUAGGUUUUCCCUCCUACUUCACCAUUCAUAUCCUCCCCUUAAAAAAAAAAAAAAAAAAAAUUCUAUCUUCUAAUUUUUUUUUUCUUUUGAUUGAAUGAUUUUUGCCCUUUUUUUCCUUUCAAUUUCACUUUAAUAUUUUGUUGAUUUUAAAUUGAUUAUCAUAAUUUGUUUUUAAUUUCUUUAAAUGUAGUUAUCAUAGUCUCAAACAAAUAUCACUAAAUUUGUUAAGAUCUCAAUUUUAGAAGUUUCUAUUUUAGUUAUCGUAUCAUUAUAUAAAAGAUAGUUUUAAAGCCUAGUGAAGCUUAUGAUUUGGUUGCAUAAUUGAGUUAAAUCACGAAGCUCAAAUUGAUCUAGUAUAUCGUCAUCUUAAUAUUAAAAAAAAUUAUCAUCUUGAUUUUUUUUUUUUGAAUCCAAACCAUGCUUUUAUUGGUCAUUUGGGUUGCUUUAAUUUGCAUAUGUAAAGUCAACUAGGUCAUGUAUAAACAACUCCCUUAUGAAUUAAUUUUAAACCUAUACUAAGCAAGAAAUCAAGUCGAUAGUUCAGGAUCAAGUUUAAUAACAAAUGUCAUUGUUCUUUUGUUUUUAAACCCUACCUUCUAUUUUUAUUUUUAUUUCAAUUGAAUCCUUUUAGGCUUUUCUCUGUUUUAUCCUUUAACUUAUCAUAUUUCAGUUUACUUUCUAUAAUGUUUUUACAAUCUCAAACAUUUAAUUGAUACUUGAUUUUACAAGCAAUUGUUUUAUUAUAUUAUUAAGUAAAAUAUAAUUAAAAAACAUAAACCAGAUGAAAUCCAUUAUUCAUGUUGUGGUUUUGAAAAAUUAAGCUAUGAAAUUGAUCUAAUAUAUUGUUUUAUUAAUACUAAAAAAAGAUUAAAACCAAAUUAUGUUUUUUUACCGGUUAUAUGAAUUGACUUUGAACCCAUCACAUUGAUUCUAACUAUAUCAUGUUAGGACAACUUUCACGGUGGUGAAAUAGAUAAGAAGUCAAGAUGAGAGGAGAAUUUACUAUUAAUCCACUACUUUUUUUAUGUUGCGCAAAACAUAAACCAGAUCCUUCCAAAAUAUUUAUUUAACCAGUGUCUGUUUUAUGUGAAACAAACAAAUUAAUCCCUCAAGUUCUUUAAAUAAUUAAUUGAUUCUUUAAUCACAUUUUACCGUCAAGUUAGUGGAACAAAUUGAUAAAAUAUUGCUGACAGCUCUACAUUUGACCGACGAAAAACUAAUGAAGGGACCCGUUUAUUGCAUAAUGUAAAAGUACAGGGAAAAGAUUUAAAAGAUCUAGUUAUCAGCAACAAAACAACCAAAACAAAAAGCUAUUUCACUGUUCAGUGUCUCACUGUAGAAAUGGUACUUUGUAAUUCCAGGGAAGAUUAGUUUUCCCUUUGGGAAUGGCCAUCUGCAGAUAUCCCUGCAUUAUAUGUUUGAUUAAAGCAUGGUAUAUACAUAGCAAUAGAAAACAAAAGGUUAGGAUGUUUAGAAAUUCAAUGUUUGGCAGUGGGUAUGGUAUUUUGAGACUUGGUCUCCAUUGCAAGCAUCUUCAGAGAUAUUUUACGCAGAUAAUCAGACUGAAAUCUGUGAGCAGUCCAUGUUACAAGAGAAGGGGGAAGAGGGAUAUAUGCUCUUUCUAAUAUGCUAGGCUUUCUGUAUUUGCAUUGUCUGUGAGCAUAUACUGUAAACUAUGAAGAGAGAAUAGAAUUUGCUGGAAUGAAUUGUAUUAUUGAUCACAUCAUAUAUUUAUACAAGUGCAUUUACAGUCAUUCCCAUAGAUUAGGAAUCAAUUACUACCUUACAAUUUAUCAUCCUAUAGACUUAGUUUUACACUAGGAAAGCCAAUGUAUUCAGAUUAUCCAUUCCUAAUAAAUAGCUUACGAGAUUCCUAACAUAUACUUCGGUGUCCUCUCUUUUUAUUUAAUUAUUUAUGUAUUGAUUCGUUAUUUGCAUUUUGCACACUUCCCUUUGUACUUGAAAAUGACCUUGGUCACUCUAAAUAAAACACUUGUAAAGAGAACUAACGAAAAGAUGUGAACUUCUACAGAAUGACUAGUGAGGAAGUGUGGACACACUACACACACGUGUACAUGCAUAAAUCCACACACUUAUGCUUGUGUAUAUUCAUGUCUAGAGAAUAUCGAAAUUAUUGAACCUAACAUUAGCCGAAUACCUGAUUGGUGGCGGCAGUAUAAAUCUUUUCCUCAAACCGUACGGCAAUUUUCUUGAGUUCUUGUAAUCCCUCUUGACCAGAAAGCGGAAGAUGCCUCUUUAAUAUCUCUAUUCUGCACAUGUAAGACAUACAUCUAUUUUUACUUCCUUUCCCCGUGAUAUUCCAGAGGUACAGGGUAUAGGAGUUCACUUGGCCACCCUUCUGUCUAAAAUUCUAGUUACGAGCUUCAUGGUUAAUUUUCUUGAACUGGAAGAACCUUCCAUUUAUGGCUAUGCUCCAAGAUAUACAAGUGAAUUAGUUGCAAACCAGGGGAACUCUGUGAAAACAUUACAAUAGCAUUUACUCUGAGUAAGAAAACUUUUAUACAUGCACUAUAAUUGACAACAAAAGAAGAAGAAAAUCCCUUUAAUUUAUGAAAAUGUAAUGAGAUAACCUUAUCUCAUGCUGCAUAAUUAUAAAGAACUCUAAAACGCGUGGGGAAAGUACUGUAGCUUUCCCCACGGUUUUCCCUGCCAAGGCAUAUAUUGUCGUUGCAGAAGUUUGAAAAAACAUUAGAUUAUAAUACCAGUGUCUUAAAUGCUUUGAAAAAUUAGACUGUUAUUUUCCCCCUGUAACUGGGUCUUUUGAAUUAUCUACAUCUGAUCAUCUUUAGAAUAAUUAACUUACGUUUUCAGGUUUCAUUUGGACAAUGUCAAAUUAGCCGGUGUUUUUUUAAUGGUGCAUUAAUUGCUUUCAGCUUCAUUUAGAAUAAAGUCAAGCUGCCUAAUCUUCUUUGAUGGUGCAUUAAAUGGAUGUGGCGUUGGCAUCAUUAUACACAUAUUCUUGCCUCCGUUUUCAUUAUUUCCUGUUCAGUUUUCGUUGUAUUUCUAUUCUAGUUAGUCUGCUUUCUAAUUGUUUAAUUGCAUGGGAUGAUUCUUUUGAAAUAGUUUCUAGCGAGCCAGUUCUCUAGCUCCCGCCUCUCUUAUAAUAUUUGAAGGUAUGUUUUCCUGUAACUUUUGUUUGUUCCCUGCAACUUUUGUUUGUUCAGUAUGCGGGUGGCCAUGAUUUGUUAUGCUUUCCUUUGCAGUUCGUUGUUCCUUUAUCAUAUUGUCUUUCAGGAGAGAGUUUGGACUUCAAGGUUAGAAUAUUUUCUCUUAGUUGUUUUUAAGAUUGUGUUCUCGUGUGUGUGUGUGUGUAUAUAUAUAUAUAUAUAAAAACUAAUUCGUGGUGAUAUUACUUAUACACAGAGAGUAAACUCAUGUGGAUUUCAAUAGUGUGGUGUGUGUGGCUGGGAAUUUCAUUUUUUAUGGAUCGACGGGUCUUGGAUGAUCAGCUGUUGUUGAUUGGUGGAUCUAUCUUCUUUCUUGGGGGUUGUCUAGCUCUGNNNNNNNNNNNNNNNNNNNNNNNNNNNNNNNNNNNNNNNNNNNNNNNNNNNNNNNNNNNNNNNNNNNNNNNNNNNNNNNNNNNNNNNNNNNNNNNNNNNNUUAUUAGUUUGAUAGUCUUUUUAAAUUUAUCAAGGUUCAAGAAGCUUGAUAAAUGAUUUUGAAACCUACGAAAACCUUGAGUUAGGUAAAAAAUUUAGAAACUUGCACCUUUUAUUUUGUAAUUUAUUAAUUAAAUUGUUUGCAAACAUCUAACAUGUCUAAUUUUUUAUUUUGUAGAAUUUGGUGGAAAGUUACAUGUAGAAUCGGAUGAUAAUUAGUUCAGAAGUUACUUUGAUGGUAAAAUACUACUUUUUUAUUUUUACAUAUUCUAAUUUAUUUUAUUAUGUUAUAAUUUUUAGAUCUUGAUUUCCCAGGUUUUGAUGUCAAUGGUAUUACGGAAUCAAAGUGCAAUGUUCUUGUCAUCUUGAUGUGCUUUUUGAUUGGGAUGAUGUGCACAAUGAAAAUUUAUAUUUUUUGCAUGAAGUGUUUUAUUUUUAUGGCAAUGUUAUUUGUUGUUUUUUUAAGCCCUUUUGAAGGCAAAGCUUUGUAAUUUAAAUUUUAAUUUGGUGUGUUAUUUAAACUUUGAUGCAUGAGGAGUACAAACUCUAAAACACAAAUAUUAGAAAGAUUGCAACAUAUUAAACACAAUAUUAGCACUAAUAAUUUAAUAUAAAUGAAUAUUUAGUGAUAAAAAAUAUAAAUAUAUUAUAGAAUUUGUAACAAAAUUAGAUAAUAGUUACAUUAAUUACAAGCCUAUUAGAAAGCCCAUCAGAAAACCCAUUAGAAAGCCCAAAAAAACCCAAAAAACAAUAAUAGAAGUUUUCCAGUUUUUCUGUUAAAAAAACCGAACCGAAUGGAACCGAAACCGGUCGGUUUGAACCGGUUCUGGUUCGGUUUCGGUUUGAAUUUUUAAGUUUUUCAAAUUUUAAUUUUGUUAGUUUUUUAUAUAAAAACUGAACCGAACCGGUUUUACUCACCCCUGCACAAUGCUAAGGGAAUGUAAGAUAGUUGUUGACAGCUGGCGUCAACCAGAAAAUUCUAAAAUAUUCUCAUCAUUUCAAAGAAAAUUCUAUCAAGAGGAAUUCUUCAUCUAUUUGGGAGGCCACCAAAGUCAAAAAGGAGUGGUAACUCAUCAUUUUCAUUUAUUUCGUAUCGAACCAUCUUAAUGGUUGUGAGAAAAUCAAGGCACAGUCACAUACAUAUCUAAAGAAAAUACAAAGUUAAGUUUAAACUUGUUAAUUCACCUUAAAAAGAUACUGAGCACACAAGUUUAUUUUAAAUUUAGGUUUUGCUAUAAAUUUAAAAGAAAAUAUGUUAGGUGGACACUAUGCAGUUUCACUAUUUACCCCCUCAUGUUUUACCGUGGAUGACAAUAUUUACUUUCUUUUAGGUUUGCUAUAAAUUUAAAGGAAAAAUAUAAACCCGGUUAAGUUCAUAGUUUGGGUUCACCACACAAGUUUUACUGUGGACAACACUAUUUACUUUUUUCUUUUUUGCUUAAGAAAAAAUAUUUCUUUUUUUUUGUUUCUAUUUUUUAAAAAUAAUCUUAAUCUUAGUUAUAUUUAUAUUUAUAUUAAUAUCCCUUCUCUAUUUUAUGUUAUUUAGAAAGCCUAUUUGAAAUGAUGAUUAUUUUUUAAUUAUGCAUUUAAUUUUUGAGGAGGUUUUUCUAAUAAUCUAUAAUUUUUUUAAAAUAUUUUAUAGAUGAAUUUUAUUUUUGAAAAUAAAAAUAAAUUUAUUUUCAAAUAAUAUUUCUAAUAUGUAUAGCCUUGUAUAUUAUUUUCUCCUUUUAUUUUAUUCAAUCAAUUUAUAAUGUGUGUGUCUGUUUUUAUUAUCGUUUGAUCGAAUAAAAAAUUAUUUUAAUUAGAAAAUUUAGAAAACACUACUGCGUAAAUAUCACGUCUUGUGAAAUUAAAUAUCUUGAUGUACACCUUUCUCUUGAUUUCUCUUGUUUUUAUUUUGAGUUAUCGUUUAAGGUUUUUUUUUUUCACUUAUUUACACACAUAGUUCUUCAUUUAUUUGACUAUAUUUGCGUAUAGUUUUUUUAUUUCACUUAAAUUUUUGACUUUCUUAAACUAGUUGUAGUAUAUAGAAUUUUUUUUAAAAUAAAAAAAUAGAAAUAUAAUUCACAUUCGAGUAAAAACCUCCACAAAUAUAAUCUCAUUGAAAGUUGCAUCAUGUAUUAAUCUAAGGUCCGCUGUCCAUUAAUUAAUCGGUGGUUGCAUUCUAACACUUGAGAUUUAUAUUUUAUGCUUAAGCAUUUAAUUUUAUUUUUUUGUAAACUAAAUAGAAAUUAAAGCAUAUUAUCCAUUCCCAAGCUUACGGGUAAUGGCCUUAUGGACCCAUCUCGUAGAAAAAACACUUGAUAUAUAGCAAUGGUCUCAUGGACCAUCCCACUGACCUAUAUCAUGGAAAAAAACAGAUGGCAAUAUAUAAUCUCACAAACCCAUCUCACACUGCAAAUUCCCAUCCAUCUUACUUGUUGAUUGUGUUACAAAAAAUAGACUCUUUAGAAAGAAAAAGAAGAAGACUUAUUGUCAUGAUAUUGACAAGAAGUAUUUUAGAAAUAAUAUCAUUUGUGGUUUAUUUUAUCAACGAUAUUGUUUGAUUUUUCCAUCACCAUCAAAAUUAAAGCAUGAUUUUCCACACGUUAUUUCCAUGAAGAAAGUAGCAAGUCUUCCAUAUCCGUCAUUGUCAUUCAAAAUGAGCUACCUAGUGUUAACCUUUGAUUCAUAUUUUUCCAAAAAAAAAAAAAAAACAGACAUGGAUUCAACUUUAUAACAAGGAAUACAAUCAAUUACUUUUAUGCAAUUCAAUUUUUCCAAAGUUUUUUCACGAACCCAUCUCGUGGAAAAAAUACAUGAUUGUUGGAAGGGGUCUGACGACCUCUCCUCGAGGAAAAAUGCAUGAUGGCAACGGUCUCCGGACCAAUGUGCAGAUGGAAAUGGUCUCACAAACUCAUAAAUUCAUGAUGGAAAUGGUCUCACGAACUCAUAAAGUUGAAUUUUUCAAUUUUUCACAAAAGAUAUUUUCGGAGAAUAACAUUUAUAGUGGUACUUUUAUGCAAUUCAACUUUAUUAAGCUAGUUAUAGUAUAUAGAAUUGAUUUUUAAUGAAAAAUUAGAAAUAUAAUCCGCAUCCCAGUAAAUACCUUCACAAAUUAAUAAAUAUGUUUUAAUAUUUACUUUUAAUAUAUAUACAAUGAAAAGAUAUUAAGAGUUGAUUAAUAUUGUUAAGCCAUAUAUGUUUAUAAAAGUCAUUUCUUUUAAACCACAUGAUAUGUUUACAUAUUUGCAAUAUGUAUGUAUUUUGAAUUUAAUAUUAAUAAUUAUAAAAUUUAUAUAGUUAAUAAAAAUAGCUUCACUUUUGUUCUCUCUUUCUUUCUCACUAUUGUUCUUUUUUCUUCUUCUUGAAUUGCCUUGUCUCUCUUUCUUUUCCGUUUUUCAUCUUUCAAUCCUUCAAGAUUCAAAAUACAUUGCAAUUUACGUUGGGAAUAUUGAUGAAAAAAUAUAAAUAUAACUAGAAACAAAUAAAAAAAAAAUGAAAUUCUAGUAAAGCAUUUACAUAUCCAUUGAAAGAUGCGUCAUAUAUUAAUCUAAGGUCCGUUGUCCAUUAAUUAAUUGGCGGUUGCAUUUUAACACUUGAGAUUUAUUUUUUAUGCUUAAGCAUUUAAUUAUUAUUUUUUUGUAAACUAAAUUGAAAUUAAAGCAUAUUAAUUAUCCAUUCCCAAGCUUACGGGGCAAUGGUCUCAUGGACCCAUCUCAUAGAAAAAACGCUUGAUAGCAAUAGUCUCAUGGACUAUAUUGUGGAAAAAAUACAGAUGGCAAUAUAUAGUCUCAUAGACCCAUCUCACACUGUAAAUUCAUAUCCUUCUUACUUGUUGAUUGUGUUACAAAAAAUAGGCUCUUUAGAAAGAAAAAGAAAAGACUUGUUGCCAUGACAAUGACAAGAAGUCUCGUAAAAAUAAUAUCAUUUGUGGUUCAUUUUAUUAACGAAACUUUUUUAUUUUGUCAUCACCAUCAAAAUUAAGACAUGAUUUUCCACACGUUAUUUCCAUAAAAAAAGUAGCAAGUCUUCUAUAUUCGUCUUUGUUAUUCAAAGUGAGCUGCCUAGUGUUAACCUUUGAUUCAUAUUUUUUCUAAGAAAAAAAAAAACAAAACAGACACGGGUUCAACUUUACAAGAUGGAAUACAAGUUUUCAGUUAAUUACUUUUAUGCAAUUUAUUUUUUUCUACAAUGUGGUUUUAAUCAGCGUUGUUAAAUUUAAUUCAAGCCUAACAUUUUAAUCUAGAACCUAACCCGAUUUAGGUUUAGAAAAAUCAAUUGAAAGUUGACUCAAUCAAGCCUAGUUGACUAGAUAAAUCAACCCACAACUUAGUCAACUCAGUCAGAAACUAGUUUUACUUUUUUUAACUACGCAGUUUUGAUUUUUUCUAAAAACAAUCUUAAAAUGAUACAAUUUUAGAUUAACACCAUUCAACAUAAGCUAACUUGUCCGAUUUAUAACCCAAAUCUUGAUCGGAGUAUUAGGCCAAUCUAUGACCUAAACCCUCAUCUAGGUAUUAAACCUAAUCAUGUUAAAUAAUUUUAGUUUUAAUAAACAAGACAUUCUUAAGAAAAAUGUCAUAUAUAAAACAUUUAAUGGCAUCCAAAUUGAAACAUUCACAAAUUGAUAUAAUAGUUAUUAAUAUUUAUUUUUAAUAUAUAUAAAAUAAAAUAUUUUAAUAAUUGAUAAUAUUGUGAAAUCAUAUAUGUUUUUUGUGGUAUUUCUCUUUAAUUUAAUCUCUUAACAUUGAGUUUGUUUAUCCCGAUCUCAUGAUCCGGGUCGAAGACAUGAUGGGUUAACUCGAUUUGUUAUUACUUCCUCCCCCUGUCUUGCAUAUAUUGUCCUCUGUUUUUCUUUUAUGCUAGCUAGCCUCUAAUUUUGGCUCUAGCACCUUUCUAUAAUAAUACUCGACUAUUAUUAAAAAAAAAAAGAAAAAAAAAAAGCAGAAGCAGAAAUAACUCGACAAUUUCUCUAAUGUGCAAAGGAGUGUUUGACAGAGCCUUCCUUAUCUCCUUCUGGUAAAUCGUCUUGGAGAGCCUAUGUUCUUGCCUUGAUCAAGACUCCCAUCUUAUCUUAGUUAUUCAACAAAUAUGAAGAAAUUCUCCAAAAUCAUUUCUUGACAUAACAUCUCACCUACCCCUCAGCCCUUUGUCAAGUCCACCGUCACUCUCGGUAAAUUAUUCUAUAACAUCUCAUAUACAGUUUCCUAAAGGUCCUCCGUCACUCUCUGUCAUUGACAGCUAUGCAUUAAAAUUAUUCUAUAACUUUUGCCUUUUCAGUUUUUCCUCUUGCGCUCUUCAAUAAUGUGCAAAGGAGUGUUUGACGUGCUAAGGAUAUAGAGCCUUCCUUCUCUCCUUCUAGUAAAUCGUCUUGAAGAGCCCAUGUUCUUGCCUUGAUCAAGACUCCCAUCUUAUCUUAGUUAUUCAACAAAUAUGAAGAAAUUUUCCAAAAUCAUUUCUUGACAUAACAUCUCACCCACCCCUCAGCCCUUUCUCAAGUCCUCCGUCCCCUUAUGCCCGAUGGUUGGGCAUCAGCCUUGAAACCACAAUGAUCCGAUGGACGAGAGUGGAGAAGGAUUCAUGCAUCUGUGUAUUUCUCAUGCUCUUUUUCACUAUACAACAGAGCUUUUGCCUUUUCAGUUUUUUCUCUUAGACGCUCUUCAAUCAAUGGAAAGAGGAAACACCACAGAAAGGUGUAAACUGACAAGAAAUUCAAUGCUCACACUUUGAAUUUUAAUUUGCAUGUUUCAGGUCAUUGGCAGCUAUAUAUAUAUAUAUUAUGUAUUUGAAGUUUUUGUAUAUAAUACUGUAGCCACACAAUCCAUAGGGAUAAGAUUUAUAAUUAUUCCGAGUUUAUUAUUAUUGAUAAUUUAUGCAUUUAAUUAUAUAUAUGAUAGUGAUGAAACCAUGCAAAUACUCCUAAAUGAUUCUAAAUCAUGACAAGAGAACUACAAUUACUAAAGUCAAAAAGAUCAUACGCGAAAUCACAUGGAGUACGUACUGCAACAAUGUUAAUUUUGUUUUUAUUUUUUUAUAAAUUGGAUAAUUAGUAACCCUAAAUAAUAUUCAAAUCCUAGAAUAUUCUAAAAAAAAUAAAAUAAUAUUCAAAUCUCAAAACAUGGAACCCUAAAUUAUGACAAGAGAAGUAUAAUUAUAAAGUCAAAAAAAAAUACACGAAUAUCGAUAACAAUGCUGAAGUGCUACAAUAAUUUAUUUUAUUUUAUUUUAUUUAUAUAAAUUGGAUAAUUAAUAACCAAAAUAAAAUUAAAUGCAAAUAGACUAAGUGCUAAACAAUAAAUUAAAAUAAUAUUUAAAUCCAAGAAUAUUCUAAAAAGAAAUAAAAUAAUAUUCAAAUCUCAAAACAUGUAACCCUAAAUUAUUACCAGAGAAGUAUAAUUAUAAAGUCAUGAAAACAAUCUUACGAAUGUCUACAAUAUAAUUUUUUUAUAUAAAUUGAAUAAUUAGCAACCAAAAUAUAAUUAAAUACAAAUAGACUAAAGGCCGAACUGAACAAUAAAAUAAAAGCCAAACUGCACAAGAUAAUAUGCAAAUAUAUAUUAUUGACAAACAUACCAUAAAGGCCGAAGUGUCAGACUUUGAAUCAUGUUGAAUUGUCAACAAUGGUGCGAGGUACUCUAGGAUACUUAGACCUGAGUACUUGCACACAAGCCAACUGACGGACAAAGGUGAUGUUUACAGUUUUGGAGUGGUUCUUGUGGAACUACUAACUGGGAUGAAGGCAAUUUCCUUCGAUAAGCCUGAGGGCCUUUAAGUGCUAAACAAUAAAAUAAAAAAUAUUCAAAUCCAAGAAUAUUCUAAAAAAAAAAAAUUUCAAAUCCAAGAAUAUUCCAAAAAAAAAUAAAAUAUAUCAAAUCUCCAAACAUGUAACCUGCACACAAGAUAUGCAGAUAAAGUCAAGGAAAUUAAAUGGCCAAAGUGUAGUAUAAAUAGGACCUCUAUGGUUGCCCAAAGGCACAUAACAAACAACAAUAUUCUACGUAGGAGUUCAUAGAAUUAUCUAAGAUGAUGAUGAAAAGAAUUGGGGCUUGGAUGUUGCUAGCGUUAUUGACUUUGUUUGGCGAAUGGCAUGGUCGUUGUUAUGGAUGUUUGGAGGAAGAGAGGAUUGGUCUCUUGGAGAUCCAAUCUUUGAUCGACCCACAUGGCGUUUCCUUGAGAGAUUGGGUGGACAGUAGUAAUUGUUGUGAGUGGCGUGGGAUCGAGUGUGAUCCGACUACAAGGCGAGUGAUCCAACUCUCUCUUGUUGCAGCAAGGGAUGAGAGCUUGGGCGAUUGGGUUCUCAACGCAUCUUUGUUUCAGCCUUUCAAAGAAUUGCAAAGUCUUGAAUUGGUAUAUACUGGAUUGGUUGGUUGCAUGGAGAAUGAAGGUUAGUUCAAUGUUUCUGCACUUAAUUAUAAUCAUAAAAUAAAUGAAGGUCGGUUGGUGUUUAAUGUCAAUUAUCUUGCUUUGAUGAUUCUCUUUCCAGGCUUCGAAGUCCUAUCAUCAAAACUGAGGGAACUUUACCUAUGGAAUAACCGAUUUAAUAAUGAUAAAAGCAUUUUGUCAUGUUUCAAUGGUAACCUUUCCACUCUCAAGUCUUUGGAUCUAUCAGUCAAUGAUUUGACAGCUGGAUCAGGUAGCUUCUACGGUAACCUUUUAAUUAUUUAGCUGGGAAACCUUUUCUUUUCUCCUUCUCAUAUCAUUUUUUUCUACGCAUUUAAUUAUUUCCUUCCAAUAUGCUCUUGAGGAACAUCAUGCAGGUCUCAAAGUCUUGUCAUCAAGGUUGAAAAAGCUGGAGAACCUUUAUCUAAGUUGGAAUCAAUACAACGAUAGCAUUUUUCCAUUUCUUACUGGAUUUUCAUUUCUCAAGUCUUUGGAUCUAUCACAUAAUAAGUUGACAGGAUCAGGUAUAAUACACAGUUUCUACCUAAAUGCUUCACAUGACAUUCUCUUAAUUAUAUUGUUUCUUUAUCAACAAAAAUGAGGACUUUAUAUCUACUUAAUUAAAGAGGCACUUGGAAUUAGGUCCACGAGGCAUAUAUUUUAUUCUUAUUUUGGCCCUUUUAUGCCGAAAGUGUUGUAAUAUUUAGAUUAAAUUAGUAAUCAGAAGUUCACUUCAAAACUCUCCAAUAAAUAUAUAUUUUAUAUUUAUCUUUUUAAAUAAAUAUAUUUUUAUAAAUGUUUUUUCUGUCUUGAGAUACUUAGUCAAACACAACUCUAAGUUUUUUUUUUUAAAAUGCAUUCGAGUUUUAAUGGGUUUUGAAUAACAUAAUAAGAAGCUCUCUCCUAUAAUAUUAUGAUUGAGAAACUUGUAAUUAUUAAAACUUGGAUCUUAACAUCAAUUCAAAAAAAAACUAUCCAAUACAAAUUCACUAGACAACCAAUUUUUUUGUACCCACAUAAUUGAUAUUUAAUUCUUGUUUGUAGCCAUUUAUUAUUUCCUCUCUUUUUAAUCAUGGUUUUAUAUUAUUUUAUGGUGAAAUAUUUGGACUAUCAAUAGUAAGUUACAUUCUCUUUAUCAAGAAAAUUGAGGACUUUAUAUAUAUAUAUAAGUAUCAACGAUAGCAUUUCAUCAUGUUUGAUUGCGAUUUCAUCUAUGAAGAAUUAUAUCUAUGGAGCUUUGAUCUUAUCCAAUAAUUGUUUUUCUAAUAAGACAGGAACAGAUUAAAGAGAUCAAAACUAGGAUGAUUAAAACAUUACUUGCAAUCUAUCUUAAUCUAUGCACUGUAUAUUUUUUUAUGUAUAUCUUGUAGGUUUUCAAGUACUCCAACCGAUGAGGCUGGGAAAGUUAGAGAACCUUGACCUGAGUUCCAAUCGAUUGAACAGCAACAUCUUAUCAAUUUUGAGUGGGCUUUCAUCCCUCAAGUCUUUGGAUUUGUCAGAGAAUAUGUUGACAGGAUCAGGUAUAAUACAUAGGCUUUUUUUUUUUUUUAAAUGCAUUUGAGUUUGAAUGGGUUUUGAAUAACAUAAUAAGAAGCUCUCUCCUAUAAUAUUAUAAUUAAGAAAAUUGUAAUUAUUAAAACUCUCGACUGUUUUAUCAAUAGAGAGAACAAUAUAAAACCCAUAUUUGAUAUUUAAUUCUUGUUUGUAGCCAUUUCUUAUUCCCUCUCUUUUUUAAUCAAAAUAUUAUUAUGUGGUGGAGGAUAUUGUCUUAUGGUCGUGCUGAAUGGUGAAAUAUUUGGACAUAGAAAAAAUAAAACGUUAAAAAGUUUCUAAAUUUUUUUAAAACUAAUUAAUUAGUUUUGCAAAAUUAGGCAAUAUGUUGCUAUCUAGGUUCAAUUAUUAUUCUUGUUUUAAUUACCGUUGAGAUCAUAACCUGGCUUCCAUCUUUAAUGACUUUAUAUUCAUAAAUUGUUUUUUAUUUUUAUUUUAUUUUUCCAAUUAGAAAGAUAUUUAAAAAUUGUUUCUUAAUCUUUAACGACUUUAUAUAAUUAAAUAUGCCAUCAUUCAUGUAUCAUUUGUUUAUGUAUAAUUUGAGAAUCAUAUAUCAAUUGAAACAUUAACUUAUCAAUUCUAAUUAUCUUUAGUCUCUAUCUAAGACUUACUCUUAGAAACAUUAACUCUCUUGCAGGUUUCGAGAUCAAAUCAUCACAUUUAGUGAAACUCGAGAACCUGGACCUGAGCCGUAAUAAUAUAUUCAACAACAACAUUUUAUCAUAUCUGCGUGGACUUUCUUCUCUCAAGUCUUUAGAUCUAUCAUACAAUAUGUUGCUAGGAUCGACAACUGUCAAUGGUAAAGUUGUGAAUAUCUCUUGGCAUCUUCUAUUAUUAACUCUUUUUUAACAAUACCUUUUGAAAUCUCUAGAUUUUUCAGGCAAUUUGUUGUUUCUAUCCAAAAAUCAUCUACUAUUCAAUAUCAGUUCUCUCAGGAAUACUAAUUUAAGUCAAGGCUAAUCAUAGUUUAGGUUCUUAAAAUCUUAAUUAAUAAUAUUGAAUGGAAUGGCUAUUUUAUCAUGUCUCUUCUUUUUUCUUUUUCGGGACUUUCUUCAAUUCGAGCACCCUUGAAGAAUUGUAUCUAGAUAAUACUUCUCUCCCAAUAAACUUUCUUCAGACAUUGGAGCAUUGCCUGCUCUUAAAGUUUGUCUGUUGGUGAAUGUGACCUCCAUGCACCCUUCCCGCUCAAGGUAAUUAACAACUCUCCAUCCGCCUAUAUAAUACAUCACCAAUAAAAGAUUCUUUCAACACUAUUUUGAUUGUUUCGAGAUAAAUUGUACAGGUUGGUGUGAAUUGAAGAAUCUGAAGCAGUUAGAUCUCUUGGAAAUAAUUUAGGAGGUUCACUCCCAGAUUGUUUGGGGAACUUGUCAUCUUACAACUAUUAGAUGUUUCUGAAAACCAGUUUACUGGAAAUAUUGCCUCUAGUCCUCUUACCAACCUCAUAUCCCUUAAAUUCCUCUCACUAUCAAAUAACCUCUUUGAAGUUCCCAUUUCAAUGAAGCCUUUUAUGAACCACUCAAGCCUCAAGUUCUUCUCCAGUGAGAACAACAGACUAGUAACGGAACCUGCUGCCUUUGAUAAUUUGAUUCCAAAGUUCCAACUAGUCUUUUUCUGCUUUAAGUAGUCCAACAUCGGAAGCACUCAAUGUAGAAUUCCGACUUCCUCUAUUACCAAUACGACUUAAGAGUCCUUGAUCUCUCCCACAACAACAUCACGGAAUGUUUCCAUCAUGGUUGCUUAAGAACAAUACACGAUUGAGCAACUAUAUCUGAGCGAGAACUCCUUUGUUGGUACUUUGCAGUUGCAAGAUCACCCAUAUCCGAAUAUGACCGAAUUAGAUAUAUCCAACAACAACAUGAACGGUCAAAUUCCAAAAGAUAUUUGUUUGAUCUUUCCAAAUCUAGAACCUUAAGGAUGGCUAAGAAUGGAUUCACAGGUUGUAUUCCUUCUUGUUUAGGAAAUAUUAGUUUGGAGAAUUUUAGAUUUAUCCAACAAUCAAUUCUUACAGUAAAACUAGAAAACUAACAACAAUAUGGUUCUCAAGCUGUCAAACAACAAUUUGGUGGGCAAUACCGACCUAGUGUUCAAUUCUUCUACCAACAAUUUCUCUACCUAAUGGUAACAACUUUUGGGGUCAGAUAUCAGAUUUUCCAUUAUAUGGGUGGAAUGAAUGGGUGUAUUGGAUUUGAGUAACAAUCAAUUUUCAGGCAUGCUUCCAAGGAGUUUCGUUAAUUUACGCCUUGGAGUGCUUGAUUUGUCCAAAAACCAUUUUAAGGGUCGAUCCCAAGAGAUUUUUGUAAGCUUGACCAGCUUGAAUAUUUGACCUUUCUGAGAACAACUUGUCUGGAUAUAUGCCAUCUUGUUUCAAUCCACCACAAAUAACCCAUAUUCAUCUAUCCAAAAAUAGAUUGAGCGGUCCAUUAAAUAUGGAUUUUAUAACAGCUCUUCCCUGGUUACGAUGGAUCUUCGAGAUAACACUUCACCAGCUCCAUUCCAAAUUGGAUUGGCAAUCUUUCAUCAUUGAGUGUUCUUCUUCUGAGGGCUAAUCACUUUGAUGGUGAGCUCCCUGUUCAGUUAUGCUUGUUAGAACAGCAUUUUGGAUGUUUCACAAACCAGCUCUCUGGUCCACUACCCUCUGUUUAGGCAAUCUACUUUCAAGGAAAGUUCCCAGAAAGUAUUGGUUCCCAAGCUGGUUAUCGAUCAGAUUACAUGAAAAUGAUUAUAUGAAAAAUGGUCCACACUAUGGGAAGUAUUCAGAUUGGAAAAGGUUUUACUGAACUUUACAGAAGAAGUGAUAGAAUUUACAACUAAAAAUAUGUAUUAUGGUUACAAGGGGAAAGUUCUCAGCUACAUGCUUGGUAUUGAUCUCUCCAAUAACAACUUGUAGGAGCAAUCCCACCAGAAUUUGGAAACUUAAGUGAGUACUGUCUUUAAACUUAUCACACAACAAUCUCACUGGAUCUAUCCCUGCAACAUUCUCAAACCUAAAGCAGAUUGAGAGUUUGGAUCUUUCUUACAACAACUUGAAUGGUGCCAUCCCUCCACAACUUAUUGAAAUUACCACACUGGAAGUUUUUAGUGUGGCGCAUAAUAACUUGUCAGGUAGGACACCGAGAGAAAAUAUCAGUUUGGGACCUUCGAUGAAACUGUUAUGAAGGAAAUCCUUUCUUGUGUGGACCUCCAUUGCGAAACAAUUGUAGUGAGGAAGCAGUGCUGUCACAGCCAGUGCCUGAUGAUGAACAAGGAGAUGAUGGUUUCAUAGACAUGGAG
RNAcentral lists this long non-coding RNA (37233 nucleotides) under Populus tremula. Its description in RNAcentral is "long non-coding RNA (PTRE_LNC002045)". Lineage: Eukaryota; Viridiplantae; Streptophyta; Magnoliopsida; Malpighiales; Salicaceae. The record is from RNAcentral.